CGACCGGCGCACGGGUGAGUAACGCGUAUGUAAUCUACCUGUAACAGAGGGAUAACCCGGAGAAAUCCGGACUAAUACCUCAUAGCACAUAUUAUUCGCAUGAAUUUUAUGUUAAAGAGACUCGGUUACAGAUGAACAUGCGUUCCAUUAGCUAGUUGGCGGGGUUACGGCCCACCAAGGCAACGAUGGAUAGGGGUUCUGAGAGGAAGGUCCCCCACACUGGUACUGAGACACGAACCAG
RNAcentral lists this ribosomal RNA (241 nucleotides) under uncultured bacterium. RNAcentral's name for it is "partial 16S ribosomal RNA". It matches the Rfam family "Bacterial small subunit ribosomal RNA", at positions 92 to 334 of the family's 1533-position model. The record is from RNAcentral.